Long non-coding RNA from Microtus ochrogaster (prairie vole), 1901 nucleotides. RefSeq lists it as uncharacterized. NCBI's taxonomy places the organism in Eukaryota, Metazoa, Chordata, Mammalia, Rodentia, Cricetidae. The record is from RefSeq and is a predicted model, not a curated record.
AUCUGAUAGAUGAGCGUCCUUAAGAAGAUCUCCUUGGUAACACUCUUCACAUACCCCAUUCAGGCAAGAGGACGAUCUCUCAAGAACACAGGAAGCAGGCUCUGCUGGGAGCUUCAGAAGAGUUGCAGCCUGCAGUCCACUCAACACCCAACCAGCCAGGAGAAGGAAGUCUGUGUUAAGCUGCCGCCUGUGGGACUGUGCUAACACAGCCAAGUUGACUGCUUCAGAGAAGAGACUGAGAAGGGGCCCCUUUUACCUGAGUGACCAGCAGGAGGAUGUCGACAAACAAACCCCUUAAAGGUGGAUGCUCCCAGAAGCCACAUCAGCAUCCAGUCCCCGUGCAGCCUUGCUGCCACCCGCUUGGUCCUCAGGUGGCUCUGAGCAGAAGGGAGCCAGUCUGACCUUCAGCAUCAGAUGGUGCAGUCUCUAAAGGGGUCAGUCACAAGGAGGCCAAGGGCAGGAGCACCAGAGAGAAACCAGGGCCACGAGCUUCAGUUCCAACCCUGGCCCUAGCCUUCCUGGCUGUGUGAGCCAAGUCCCAAGGAUGGAAUUUAGGCCUUCAGUCCUCAGAGCGAGUUCUUUAUCAACUGAACUAUGGCUGUCCACAAACUGGUGAUUCUCCUGCCCUCAUUGACCAAUGGCUCCCAUUACACCUGGCUGCUAUAUUUUCUCAAUACACAUUAGAAUAGUCCUGCAACUGGUCACUGAUGUUGCCUCCUUGAUUUUUAGAGAUUUUGGAGAUGAGAGCAAUGGGGUGCAGGGAGAGAAGCCGCUAGCGGGAGUCACAUCUGUGACCUCGGAGUGAAACACAGGCAGGUGGCAGGUUCACUCUGGGUGGUGGAAAGCCAGGCCAGCCAGGUGUCCCCUUUGUCUCUAUCUUAUCAUCCUCUCUAGAAGUAUCUUUGGUUCUACCCCAGUCUGAAGCCAAAGUAGCCAGGGAGAAACAACUGCCUUCUUGGGUCAGCCACUCUGGUCCGUGCACUCCAGUGUGAGAGUGUACGUGAAAUCACAUCUGGGAAGGCUGUUACAUAGAGAUGGGACCCAAGGAUGAUUGGCUGGGAUGAAGAGACUCCACCCUACCCUGACUGCUUCUUAAGUUCCUACAGGCCCCAUCUGUGUCAGGUUGGCUCUGGGAACUGCCUGCAGUGUGCACACCAUUGCAGCCUGUUAAGACAUUGAAGCUCCACCCUGUCUUAGGAGGAGCAGGGGCAGUAGACAGAGAGGUCCUCCACCCCUUCAUCUGUGUCUCUUACACAGUGGUGAGCAGAAGCCCCAGGGUGUUUUCAUACUGUCAGGAUACCAGGCCCUUCAUCCUGGAGUCCCGUCAUGGUGGACAGGUUUGACCCUCGACAACGACAGGGCAGCUAGGGUGGGAAUGGCUCUGGCAACACACUGCCAGCCGUCUCCUCAGCCCCGCUUGGCUACACAUUGCUGUCCACCAUCUCCAAGCUUGGUUCCUUUCCUAGGUGCCACCACUAGAAAAUGUGAGUCAGUCCUUCUAUGUGCCAGGCUCCCAAGAGACAGUGCUGUCUUGGCGACCUUGACACUCCACUCAUGGGAGCCCCAUCUGCUGCUGGAGUUAGCUCUGAACACUACCCUGGGGAUAGGACUUCCCUUCCCCUGGCUUGUGCCUGGUAGCCUUUCCUGAAUCUCCUCAGCACGAUGGCCGGCAGCCUGAGCAGCCACAGCUACAAUGCAAUUCUUGUCACUUGGUUUCCACUCUGGCUAGUUCCGUGGUCCCUGCUUUUAGCUGGCAGAUUAGAGAAAGAGAGAUUUGCAUAGCAAUAAAAAAGUAAUUAAAAUCACCAACACAUGAAAAGCCCAUUAUAAGAUUCCCUGGGAAAGACGCCUCCCCUGGUCAGGAAAGAUACAGUGAGCGGGUGGGGGUGGCGAACCAAUUA